Molecule: RNA transcript, 3807 nt
Organism: Carassius auratus (goldfish)
Lineage: Eukaryota; Metazoa; Chordata; Actinopteri; Cypriniformes; Cyprinidae
Gene name: procollagen galactosyltransferase 1-like
Exons: 13
Source: RefSeq, a predicted model, not a curated record
CCCCUUUAACUCGCUCGUCUUACAAACUGCAGUGUUGUCAAUGCAGGCUGAUUUUGGUCGGCGGAAUUAUUUAAACUAAAGUUACCCGUUUUUAACUUUCUACCUCCUCACGAAGUGGGUGUAACUGUGUGGUUUAGCUUUACGAGCUCGUAUUCCUGCUUGUAAAGAAUGCUCUGGUUCAUGUUGUUCGUGUCGGUGCUGUGGUCUUGUCUGAUGAAUACUGGACCCGCUCGAGGAUACUUCCAUGAAGAGCGCUGGAGCCCGGAGUCUCCUUUAUUAGCUCCCCGAGUAAUGAUCGCUCUGAUCUGCCGUAACGCCCAGCACUCGCUGCCACAUUUCCUCGGGACCAUUGAGCGUCUGAAUUACCCCAAAGACCGAGUCGCGCUGUGGGUAGCAACGGACCACAAUAUUGACAACACCACUUACCUACUGCGAGACUGGCUCAUCAGUGUACAGAAACUCUACCAUUAUGUUGAGUGGAGGCCAAAGGAGGAACCCAGAAAAUAUAAUGAUGAGGAAGGACCGAAGGAAUGGACGAAUGAGCGUUACGCCUACAUCAUGAGACUGCGGCAGGCGGCGCUUGAGUCUGCACGAGAGAUGUGGGCAGACUAUCUCAUGAUGAUUGAUUGUGAUAAUCUCCUGAUCAACCGAGAUGUCAUAUGGAAACUAAUAAAAGAGAACAAGACAAUUGUGGCACCAAUGAUGGAGUCUCGUGCUGCCUACUCAAACUUCUGGUGUGGAAUGACAUUCCAGGGCUACUAUAAACGAACCCCAGCCUACAUCCCCAUGCGCAAGCAAGUGCGUAGGGGUUGCUUUGCCGUUCCAAUGGUGCAUUCGACUUUCCUGGUUGACCUGCGGAAAGAAGCUUCCAGACUGCUUGCUUUUCACCCACCACAUCCAGACUACACCUGGGCCUUUGAUGACAUUAUAGUCUUUGCUUUUUCAGCCCGCAUGGCAGGGGUCCAAAUGUUCAUUUGUAACAGGGAGACUUAUGGUCAUCUCCCAGUGCCUCUUCGUGCGCACAGCACCAUGCAGGAUGAAGCCGACAGCUUCAUUCAUACCGUCCUGGAGGUCAAUGUGAGAAAUCCUCCAGUUGAGCUUUCCAGAUACUUGCCCAAACCUGUCAAAAGACCUGACAAAAUGGGCUUUGAUGAGGUGUUUAUGAUCAACCUGAAGCGGCGGGCCGACCGUCGUGAGCGCAUGCUGAGGGCAUUGAGAGAGCAAGAAAUCGACUGCAAGAUUAUCGCUGCUGUUGAUGGCAAAGCUAUGAACGUCAGUGAGAUCCAUGCUAUGGGAAUCCACAUGCUUCCUGGCUACAGUGACCCAUACCACGGCAGACCUCUGACGAGAGGAGAGCUGGGCUGCUUCCUGUCCCACUAUAACAUCUGGAAAGAGAUUGUAGACCGAGGCCUGAAGACCUCACUGGUGCUUGAAGAUGAUUUGCGGUUUGAGAUUUUCUUCAAGCGCCGCCUGCAGAAUCUGAUAAGUGAGGUGGAGAGUGAGGGUCUGGACUGGGACCUCAUUUAUAUUGGGAGGAAGAGGAUGCAAGUGGACCGGCCUGAAAAAGCAGUCCCGAAUAUUCGCAACCUGGUGGAGGCGGACUAUUCCUAUUGGACCUUGGGUUACAUGAUGUCAUUACAAGGAGCCAAAAAGCUCCUCAAAGCAGAACCACUCACUAAAAUGUUGCCUGUGGACGAAUUCCUUCCUGUAAUGUUUAAUAAGCAUCCUGUAUCAGACUACAUGGAGCAGUUUGAGACGAGGGACCUGAAAGCAUUCUCAGCGGAGCCCUUGCUUGUGUUUCCUACACACUACACGGGUGAAGCAGGGUACAUCAGUGACACCGAAACCUCCACAGUGUGGGACAAUGAGAAAGUGCAUACAGACUGGGACAGGAAGCACUCGGGUAAAACCCAGGAACAGGCUGAGAUCAGCACAGAGGCCCAAAACACAGAUGUGCUCCAGUCUCCUCUGGACAGGACAGCCCGGGACGAACUAUGAGAGACUAGAACUGCUUCUGGGGGGCGAAGUCUGGUUCCACUAUAAGCACAAUAUAACUCAUCAGAAGAUGCCUUUUUAAAGAUUUUUUUAAAUCUGUAAAAAAAAAAAAAAAAGAAAUGUUUUCAGAUUAAACGUUUGUCCAUUUAUUGUUGAUCAGAUUUGUGACAGAGGCCUGACUGCACUUUGCCAUGACAGCAGCACCUGUUCUUCACUGUAUCCUGCGAUAAAAAUGUCAGGUGCCAGCUUCAUGGAAAUCUUCUUAAGAAAGAAGUUAGCAAAUUUACAAAAAUAAGGUUUAGUUAGUAAGGAUGAAAAAUUCUUAAAGGAAUAUUUUUUUGAAUGAAAAUUUGUCGAAAAUGUGCUCAACCUCGGGCCGUCUAAGAUGUCUUUGUUUUUUUUUCAUCAAAACAGAUUUUGGAGGAUCCACUUACAUCACUUGCUCACCAGUGGAUCCUCUGCAGUGAAUGGGCGCCGUCAGAAUGAGAGUCCAAACAGCUGAUUGAAACAACACAAUAAUCCACACGACUCCUGUUCAACAUUUAACAUCAUAGGAAGUGUAAAGCUUCAUGUUUAUAAGAAAUGAAUCCACCAUUAUGCCAUUUUAAUUUACAUCAUUGCUUCUGGUCAAAAUAAUUGUCCAUAAUCAAUAAUAAUGCUUCCUUCAGUGAAAACGUCGCUGAGUCUGAAAUGGGUGAAAUAUAAACAGAUCAAUCCCCAUUUACAAGUAAAAACACUUUCUAAACCAUUAAAUGUCAGUGGAUUUUGAGGUUCAGGACAACAGGAGAUGCUAGUUUUCACUGGAGGAAGUGUUAUUGCAGAUUAUUGAUUUGUGUAUUUUGGCCACAUGUGCCUUAAUGUUAAGAUUUGUUUCUAUAGAUUACGUAAAUCAUUAAUUGAUGGACUGGAAUGGAGACGUGUGGAUUAUUGUGAUGGUUUUAUCACCUGUUUAGACUCUCAUUCUGACGGCACCCAUUCACUGCAGAGGAUCCAUUGGUGAGCAAUUGAUGUAACGCUACAUUUCUCCAAAAUCUGUUCUUAUGAAGAAAAUUGCAGUUAAGAAGAAUUUUAUCUUAAAGAUAUUUUGUGAAUCCCUUCACACUUUGAUUAAUCAUGUAAUUAAUAUUUUUCUUUCCAUACAUGAACAUAGUCAUUCUUAACAAUAAUACUCAAGACAUGAAACAUGUUAUUUUAAGACAUGAAGCAUGUUAUUUUAACUUGAGGGAUGUCGUUAUUUUUAGGUCUUGAUACCAUUACCCUCUUCAGUGGUGUUUCAGACUGUUACUUCCCUUCAUCAAAGCCAACAGCCAUACACUCCUCACUGUGUGGUCUUUCUGUCGUAUCAUCAGGACAGCAAUUAAAGGUUUAAUUAUAUCACAGCUGCGUAGCCACAAGACAAACAUGAUGAUGCUGGCACAGCCCCGCAAACCAUUUUCCUGCAUGCUGAAGAUAGAUGAUGUGACGACUGCUUUGAGUUUCGAUCUCAAUUCGCUGGUGGGUAAAAUGAGCUUAAACGCUUGAGAGGAUAUCUAAAAAGAGAAUCAGAACCAACUUUUGUGUAUUAUAGAAUGUUAUGCAGUCACUGCUUAUUGUACCAGUGUCAUGACAGAAGCUAUCAUGAUGUUACAUGGCUUUGAGAGACUGACUCCCAAAACAAAAUGUGUUUAUUAGUUAAUUUAUUAAUUCAGUUUUUCAGUUUGUGCUGUGGAUGUUGUAUUUAGACGUAAAACUGAUCGCUGAAUGUACCUUGAAAUUCUUACCUGUGUCACUAAGUGCUUUAUAUUUGAACAAAAGUCAAGGGUAGAGGCCUGU